Long non-coding RNA from Sinocyclocheilus grahami, 309 nucleotides. RefSeq lists it as uncharacterized. The transcript has 3 exons. The record is from RefSeq and is a predicted model, not a curated record. Lineage: Eukaryota; Metazoa; Chordata; Actinopteri; Cypriniformes; Cyprinidae.
AUGUUGUCUAACUCAUAGACAUAAUAAAUACCUAGACGCCUCAUUGGCCGCUCGACCGCACGUCAACGUCGCCGCCAUAUUGGUGAAGGCAACUCUCAUAUCGGGACAGGCGAAAACAUAUCUGACUCGUCGGCAGCUUGGGCAUCUACAAACCGUUGCACAAUAAUAAAAACAGACCUCGGGGUAUUAUCUUUCACAGCCAAUUGCAAACAGGACAACGCAAGCCUUAAGGAAAGCUGAAGAAAGCCUGUUCUCUGCAUUUCCAAGAGAGUAGGCUAUACUUCCACAGCCUAAUGUUGUAUUAGAACU